GAUGAACGCUGGCGGCGUGCCUAAUACAUGCAAGUCGAGCGAACAGACGAGGAGCUUGCUCCUUUGACGUUAGCGGCGGACGGGUGAGUAACACGUGGGUAACCUACCUAUAAGACUGGGAUAACUUCGGGAAACCGGAGCUAAUACCGGAUAAUAUUUCGAACCGCAUGGUUCGAUAGUGAAAGAUGGCUCUGCUAUCACUUAUAGAUGGACCUGCGCCGUAUUAGCUAGUUGGUAAGGUAACGGCUUACCAAGGCAACGAUACGUAGCCGACCUGAGAGGGUGAUCGGCCACACUGGAACUGAGACACGGUCCAGACUCCUACGGGAGGCAGCUGUAGGGAAUCUUCCGCAAUGGGCGAAAGCCUGACGGAGCAACGCCGCGUGAGUGAUGAAGGUCUUCGGAUCGUAAAACUCUGUUAUUAGGGAAGAACAAACGUGUAAGUAACUGUGCACGUCUUGACGGUACCUAAUCAGAAAGCCACGGCUAACUACGUG
RNAcentral lists this ribosomal RNA (497 nucleotides) under uncultured bacterium. RNAcentral describes it as "partial 16S ribosomal RNA". It matches the Rfam family "Bacterial small subunit ribosomal RNA", at positions 28 to 507 of the family's 1533-position model. The record is from RNAcentral.